UUCUGACGUCUCCAAACUGGGGCAUCGCGUCGCAUUUUACGUGACGACGAGAGGUAAAGGGGCAGAGAAGGUCCGUUGUUCCAGGACAGAGGCCAUGUCUCCCAGACCUGGUUGUCUGCUUGGCACAAGCCCGGGGGCGGGGACGGCCUUCCACCCGCCCUCCUCUGCCCGUGACUUCUGGCCUGACCCCAACUGAAGGGGCCGGACAGCUGCUGGCCAGCCUCUUCCCCCGCCCACGUGAUUUGCCCACUUCCCGAGCUGGACCCGGAACCUCAGGGCCCUCGGGGAAGACCAUGGUCAUGAUACACAGAAGGAGAUGCUGGGAGUAAAGGACUCAGGGCCCAGAUAUCCUAGACGCCUCUAACGUCAAGAGGAGGCCAAAGAUUCGCCCGCCCUGAAUGAUGACUUCUGACUCUCCAUCCGUCACAGAACAGAGCAAGUGGGGAGAUCCGUGUGCGCUCCCCCGGCGGUGAGCGGCGGCCGAGGACCCGAUUUGUCUCCCCUGCUUUCCUCCCGUGUAACGCAUGUUCACAAACAACAUAUUUGCCUGAGUUAUUUAUGCAAAGCAGCAUUAGUACAUAGUUUUGGCCUCUUGUUUUCUCGUUGAAAAAUAAUUUGCGGAAAUCCCGUCAAAUUA
Molecule: long non-coding RNA, 637 nt
Organism: Herpailurus yagouaroundi (jaguarundi)
Lineage: Eukaryota; Metazoa; Chordata; Mammalia; Carnivora; Felidae
Exons: 3
Source: RefSeq, a predicted model, not a curated record